AUCUUACAUUCUAGAGAAAAAGGGACAAUGUACAAUAGAUGAAGAAACUCUGAUUAGAGAGGUUUAAAUAACUUGACCAAGACAUGGGACACGUGAGCGUCAUGGCGAGGGACUGAACCUUGAUUGCUCUGACUUCAACUCCUGAGAUUCUAACGAUGGUCCUCCACCGCUGCUCAGAUCAAGGUUGACUCUGAUAUACCUAGAUAUGAUUUUCAUUGUAUUUGUCCUGCAUCAAGUUCACUGGACUUUUGGAAUCUGUAGAUUGAUGCCAGUAUUAACUUUGUAAAAAAACAAACAACAACAACAAAAAAAACUCAAUCAUUGCCUUUUGUCUAUUCCUUUUGUUCCAUUCUUUAUCUCUUCUCCUAGGAUUCCCAUGUUAAUCUACAUAUAUUAUCCCACGGGUCUCUGAUGCUCUGUUCUAUUCAUUAUUUUUUCUCUCUUGUUUAGAUAGUUUCAAUUCCCUGAUCCUUUCUUUUACUAUGUUUAAUCUCCUCCUACAGAAGGCUGAUUAACUUUAUUUAAUUUCAAUAAACUUUAUAUUUCAAAAAUUGAAAUUUUCAGUUCUAUUAUCAUUUAGUUCUUUAUAAAUGUCCUUUUUCCUGAACAAUUCCACAACUACUGAUCAUUUUAUGUAUCUUUUCUUCUAAACUUAUUAAUGUAUUUUGAUAGUGUUUUUAAAGCCCUAGUUUGGGACUUUGGGAUGUAAGCACCACUAUAUCCCCCUCUGCCUCUUAGCUCCCUCCCUAGUCAGUCAUGGUUUAUUUAACAAAAUAUGCUCUGUGGGAGAUUUGCAAAGUUGGGAUGAUGAAUUUUGCAUUUGGGGAUAUUUCAGAUUUUAAUUCCUCCUGAUAAACCACAUGUUCAUUAAAAAUACAAUUGUGUUAUCUUUGUGCUAACAAAGCCUUCCUGCCUUUGACAAGAUUGCUUUUCUGCCUUCCCAUAAACAAACAAGGCUGUGGCCCCCACAAAUGUGAGCAACUGCUUGUUCUCUUAUUUAACAAGGCCUCAUUCCUCUCUGAAAUUUAGUUCAUUUUGAACUUCUUUUCAUCUACAGCUUUUAGAUAGCUUUAGCGGAAAACAACACGAUUUAGUUUACCCAGUGUUUUCUUGUUACAUAAAGAAC
RNAcentral lists this long non-coding RNA (1126 nucleotides) under Homo sapiens (human). RNAcentral's name for it is "HSALNT0345381". The record is from RNAcentral. Lineage: Eukaryota; Metazoa; Chordata; Mammalia; Primates; Hominidae.